This 792-nucleotide ribosomal RNA is filed under the name uncultured bacterium. RNAcentral describes it as "bacterial SSU rRNA". It matches the Rfam family "Bacterial small subunit ribosomal RNA", at positions 28 to 796 of the family's 1533-position model. The record is from RNAcentral.
GAUGAACGCUGGCGGCGUGCUUAACACAUGCAAGUCGAACGAGAAUCAGUUGAUCGAGGAUUCGUCCAAGUGAAGCUGAGGAAAGUGGCGGACGGGUGAGUAACGCGUGAGGAACCUGCCUCGGAGUGGGGAAUAACAGUUAGAAAUGACUGCUAAUACCGCAUAAUGCAGCGAGAUCGCAUGAUCUUGCUGCCAAAGAUUUAUCGCUCUGAGAUGGCCUCGCGUCUGAUUAGCUAGUUGGCGGGGUAACGGCCCACCAAGGCGACGAUCAGUAGCCGGUCUGAGAGGAUGAACGGCCACACUGGAACUGAGACACGGUCCAGACUCCUACGGGAGGCAGCAGUGGGGAAUCUUCCGCAAUGGGCGAAAGCCUGACGGAGCAACGCCGCGUGAGUGAUGACGGCCUUCGGGUUGUAAAGCUCUGUGAUCGGGGACGAAUGAGCAGCGUGCCAAUACCACGCUGAAAUGACGGUACCCGAAAAGCAAGCCACGGCUAACUACGUGCCAGCAGCCGCGGUAAUACGUAGGUGGCAAGCGUUGUCCGGAAUUAUUGGGCGUAAAGCGCGCGCAGGCGGUUUGUUAAGUCCAUCUUAAAAGUGCGGGGCUUAACCCCGUGAGGGGAUGGAAACUGACAGACUGGAGUAUCGGAGAGGAAAGCGGAAUUCCUAGUGUAGCGGUGAAAUGCGUAGAGAUUAGGAAGAACACCGGUGGCGAAGGCGGCUUUCUGGACGACAACUGACGCUGAGGCGCGAAAGCGUGGGGAGCAAACAGGAUUAGAUACCCUGGUAGUCC